GACGAACGCUGGCGGCGUGCCUAAUACAUGCAAGUCGAACGCUUCUUUCCUCCCGAGUGCUUGCACUCAAUUGGAAAGAGGAGUGGCGGACGGGUGAGUAACACGUGGGUAACCUACCCAUCAGAGGGGGAUAACACUUGGAAACAGGUGCUAAUACCGCAUAACAGUUUAUGCCGCAUGGCAUAAGAGUGAAAGGCGCUUUCGGGUGUCGUUGAUGGAUGGACCCGCGGUGCAUUAGCUAGUUGGUAAGGUAACGGCUCACCAAGGCCACGAUGCAUAGCCGACCUGAGAGGGUGAUCGGCCACACUGGGACUGAGACACGGCCCAGACUCCUACGGGAGGCAGCAGUAGGGAAUCUUCGGCAAUGGACGAAAGUCUGACCGAGCAACGCCGCGUGAGUGAAGAAGGUUUUCGGAUCGUAAAACUCUGUUGUUAGAGAAGAACAAGGACGUUAGUAACUGAACGUCCCCUGACGGUAUCUAACCAGAAAGCCACGGCUAACUACGUG
This 508-nucleotide ribosomal RNA is filed under the name uncultured bacterium. RNAcentral's name for it is "partial 16S ribosomal RNA". It matches the Rfam family "Bacterial small subunit ribosomal RNA", at positions 28 to 507 of the family's 1533-position model. The record is from RNAcentral.